RNAcentral lists this ribosomal RNA (2594 nucleotides) under Capsicum chinense (habanero). RNAcentral describes it as "bacterial LSU rRNA". The stretch from base 1188 to 2592 matches the Rfam family "Bacterial large subunit ribosomal RNA". The record is from RNAcentral. Lineage: Eukaryota; Viridiplantae; Streptophyta; Magnoliopsida; Solanales; Solanaceae.
AAUCAUCAAAACCAACCCUCAUGUCGGCCAACAUAAGUUUCUAGUAUCCGUCUUUCGGACUCACACCUUUACGACUAGCUAUCACAACCCCCAUUAUUGCCCAAUUAAAAUAUUUAACACAUAACAAAAUCACCAAUUUUAGGAGUCAAUUAUUAAGGCAUUAUUAAGUGGUAUCGUCCUACCGACUGUAGCUAGCAAGCAAUGUCAUUAGCCAAUACUUAGGGGAAUCCCAAGUACCUCACAGACUCCAUUAUUAAAAUCACUUGGGGGAUUCCCGUGUACCUUACAAGGUUUUCAUAAAUCAUUCACUUAGGGGAUUCUAUUGUACUCCACAAGGUUUUUAAAACCAUUCUUAACCAUUUAACCAUUUAUACCAUGUAUUAAUUUAAGGAAACAAGUCAAGCCAAGUGAUAAUGCAUAAACCAAAAUCAAUUAUGUAAAUGGGUUGAGUUUAUUACCAAUUUUCAUAUCAAAACAAUCAAUUUAGGGAUUCUAUUGUACCCCUAUUUCUAUUCGUCAUUCCCAUGCACCACAUGUUCAUAACCAUAUUUAAAGUAUGAAUAACUAUAAUUAAACCAUGGAAAAAUAUUAUUCAAUAAUAAGCAAUCAAAACCCCUAACCCUUGUUUCAAACCAAGAUAAAUAUCUCAUGAACAUUACUUUAAAUCACAUGCUUUUACAAAAUUGAGAAUGAUGGAAGAAUAACAUGCCUUAAACACCAAGAAGUACAAAAAGAAAUCACCCUUAGAAGUCCCAAUUGAUUAAUCUCUUGAAAACCCUAUGUGUUCUUAACCUUGAGGAUUUGAGAGUGGUUUGAGAAGUUAUUUGACUUGUUUUUUAGGGUUAAUAAUACCUUAAAGAGGUUAUAAAAUGUGAGUUUCAAGUUGGGCAAAAGAGAAAAUGUCCAGAAUGCCCUUAACUUAAAAGCUAGAAAAAGGUCGUCUUUGAUUAUGAGUCAACCAUUGACUCGUAAUCAUUCCUUACGACUCAUCACCAUGAUUCAUAACCAUGGCAGUCUCGCUAAGAACACAAAUUGCUAUCCUUACGACUCCACCAACUGACUCGUAAUGGGACCCUAUGACUCGUAGGUCCCAGUCAUAAUCAACACAGAACCCAUUUGGGGUGUACACUGGACACCUUACGACUUACACCCUACAACUUGUAAUAUAUCCUUACAGAUCAUAUCGAGCCACUCGUACUCAGAGCAGAUGCAUGCCACAAACUUACAUGAUUUGGUUACAACUUAUCCCAAUGAGUCGUCAAGACACCUUACCACUCUUGGGGUUUGUCAUAACCAAGGCAGUGAGCUCAAAGCUCAAGAAAUUUCUAAGGACCAAAAUUCAGAGUAUUUCACUAACCGUACCCCAAACCGACACAGGUAAACAAAUAGAGUAUACUAGGGCGCUUGAGAGAAGCAUGUCAAAGAAACUCAACAAAAUGACCCUAUAACUUUGGGAGAAUGGGUGUUCUCCUAUCUUUUGAUUCGAAAACCAACACAUACUAGGGGUAGCGACUGUUUAUUAAAAAUACAGGACUCUACUAAGUGGUAACACGAUGUAUAGAAUAUGACGCUUGCCUGGUGCUCGAAGGUUGAAAUGAGAAGUAUUAUAAGCUUUGAAUGGAAGCUUCGGUAAAUAGAGAAGUAACUCUAACUGUCCCAAGGUAAAGAAAUUCUUUUUCGCAUAAGUAACGACCUGUAUGAAUGGUGUAAUGACUACCCCGUUGUAUCCAACAUAGACCCAAUGAAAUUAAAUUCUCCGUGAAGAUGUGGAGUACCAACGGCUAGAUGGUGAAGACCCGUGCACCUUAACUAUAACUUCAUAGUGACAACCUUAACCGAAAGUGUAGGAUAUAUGGGAGGUGGUGACAUAUAACAACCAAUCUUGAAAGACCAUUAUUUCAUCUAAAGGAUGUCUAAUCGUCGUAUCGAUAAUUUAGAGGGAAAUGGGACACUGCGAGAUAGAUAGUCUUUCUAGGGUGGAUGCCUCCUAAAGAGUAACAGAGGUGUGCGAAGGUAGGCUCAAGCUAAGAUUCUACUCAUGAACAUAAUUGUAUAAGCAUGCCUGACUGUGAGACCGACUAGUCAAACAGAGAUGAAAGUUGGCCAUAGUGAUCCCGGAGUCCUGCGUGGAAGGGCUCUCGCUCACAAAUCAAAGGUAUACUAGGGAUAAUAGGCUGAUAACUCCCAAGAACUCUUAUCGAUGGAGUUGUUUGGCACCUCGAUGUUGACUCAUCAUAUCCUGGGGUUGAAUAAGGUCCCAAGGGUUUAGUUGUUUGUCGAUUCAAGUGAUACAUGAGUUAGGUUUAGAAUAUUGUGAGACAGUUCGAUUCCUAUCUACCGUUAGUGUUAAAGGGAGAACUGCGAGGAGCCAACCCUAGUACGAGAUGACUGGGUUGGUAUAACCCAUGGUGUACUGGUUGUUAUGCUAAUAGCAGUGCCUACAACUAAGUUGGUAUGGAAAAAUUGCUAUGCCAUGGAAAAUCCUUCUCGAUAUAAGUUCUGGAUACAGUUUUUGAGCAAAACUUUGAUAGGUGAGAGAUGUAAGCACCGCGUGGUAUGAAGCAAUCUCGUACUAAAUGAAACAACUUUCACUU